GAUCAUGGCUCAGAUUGAACGCUGGCGGCAGGCCUAACACAUGCAAGUCGAGCGGAUGAAGAGAGCUUGCUCUCUGGUUCAGCGGCGGACGGGUGAGUAAUGCCUAGGAAUCUGCCUGAUAGUGGGGGACAACGUUUCGAAAGGAACGCUAAUACCGCAUACGUCCUACGGGAGAAAGCAGGGGACCUUCGGGCCUUGCGCUAUCAGAUGAGCCUAGGUCGGAUUAGCUAGUUGG
RNAcentral lists this ribosomal RNA (235 nucleotides) under uncultured bacterium. Its description in RNAcentral is "partial 16S ribosomal RNA". It matches the Rfam family "Bacterial small subunit ribosomal RNA", at positions 15 to 252 of the family's 1533-position model. The record is from RNAcentral.